This 253-nucleotide ribosomal RNA is filed under the name uncultured bacterium. RNAcentral's name for it is "partial 16S ribosomal RNA". It matches the Rfam family "Bacterial small subunit ribosomal RNA", at positions 524 to 776 of the family's 1533-position model. The record is from RNAcentral.
UACGUAGGGUGCAAGCGUUAAUCGGAAUUACUGGGCGUAAAGCGUGCGCAGGCGGUUGUGCAAGACAGAUGUGAAAUCCCCGGGCUCAACCUGGGAAUUGCAUUUGUGACUGCACGGCUAGAGUGUGUCAGAGGGGGGUAGAAUUCCACGUGUAGCAGUGAAAUGCGUAGAGAUGCGGAGGAACACCGAUGGCGAAGGCAGCCCCCUGGGCUAGCACUGACGCUCAGGCGCGAAAGCGUGGGGAGCAAACAGG